This 315-nucleotide unclassified non-coding RNA is filed under the name uncultured fungus. RNAcentral's name for it is "partial contains 5.8S ribosomal RNA and internal transcribed spacer 2". The stretch from base 1 to 133 matches the Rfam family "5.8S ribosomal RNA", at positions 22 to 154 of the family's 154-position model. Lineage: Eukaryota; Fungi. The record is from RNAcentral.
UGGCUCUCGCAUCGAUGAAGAACGCAGCGAAAUGCGAUAAGUAAUGUGAAUUGCAGAAUUCAGUGAAUCAUCGAGUCUUUGAACGCACCUUGCGCUUUUUGGUAUUCCGAAAAGCAUGCCCGUCUGAGUGUUAUGAAUACUCUCCUCCAGGAUUUUUUUUCCUCGGGUGAGGAUUUGGGAUUUGUCGAUUUGGCUGUCCUUAAAUACAAUAGCAACGGUUUAAUAAGAUUAACCGUGGCGAUCCUAGCAUGUGAGCAUUUUCAAUGACUCGCUACGCCUUGUGAUUAGCCUCAGACGGACAAGACUACCCGCUGA